RNAcentral lists this ribosomal RNA (419 nucleotides) under uncultured bacterium. RNAcentral's name for it is "bacterial SSU rRNA". It matches the Rfam family "Bacterial small subunit ribosomal RNA", at positions 28 to 456 of the family's 1533-position model. The record is from RNAcentral.
GACGAACGCUGGCGGCAUGCCUAACACAUGCAAGUCGAACGGAAGUAGCAAUACUUUAGUGGCGAACGGGUGAGUAACACGUGAGCAACCUGCCCUAUACAACGGGAUAACACAGAGAAAUUUGUGCUAAUACGGUAUAAGACCACAGUAUCGCAUGAUACAGGGGUAAAAGAUUUAUCGGUAUAGGAUGGGCUCGCGACCCAUUAGCUAGUUGGUGAGGUAACGGCCCACCAAGGCAACGAUGGGUAGCCGACCUGAGAGGGUGAUCGGCCACACUGGGACUGAGACACGGCCCAGACUCCUACGGGAGGCAGCAGUGGGGAAUAUUGGGCAAUGGAGGAAACUCUUACCCAGCAAUGCCGCGUGAAUGAAGAAGGUCUUCGGAUUGUAAAGUUCUUUAAUUGGGGACGAAAAAAAUG